This 614-nucleotide ribosomal RNA is filed under the name Pseudoeurycea firscheini (Firschein's false brook salamander). RNAcentral describes it as "partial 16S ribosomal RNA". The stretch from base 42 to 155 matches the Rfam family "Bacterial large subunit ribosomal RNA", at positions 716 to 852 of the family's 2925-position model. Lineage: Eukaryota; Metazoa; Chordata; Amphibia; Caudata; Plethodontidae. The record is from RNAcentral.
CUAGCAAGUCAAACCUUUCAAAAAGAAUUUAGCAAGACCCUCCGAAACCAGACGAGCUACCUUAAGACAAUUUUAUAAUGAACCCUCCUCUGUAGCAAAAGAGCGGGGAGACCUUUAGGUAGAGGCGACAAACCUAACGAGCCUGGAUAUAGCUGGUUGCUUGAGAAAGAAUUUAAGUUCACAUAAAAGCAAUUAUACCAACAAGGAAAAAUUCUGCCUUUUACUUUAAUCAAUUGAGUUACAGCUCAAUUAAUAAGGGAAACAACCCAAAUAAAUGAAUUAAGAUUAUAUAAUUUUAAGAAACACGAGCCUAGUAGGCCUAAAAGCAGCCACCAAAACAGCGUUAAAGCUUAACUUAAACCAUAUCACCUAUCCCAAUAAACAAUCUCAAUUCAACAAAACAAUCAAGCCAAUCUAUCUAUAGAUAAGCUACUACUAGAAUUAGUAAUAAGGAUAUAUCCUCUAUAAUAUAAACGUAAAUCAGAACGAACAACCACUGAUAAUUAAUGAAUAUAUUUUUAAAACAAGAACUCAAUAAUAAAAAUCAUUAACCCAACACAGGAAUAUUAAAGAAAGACUUAAGGCUUAGAAAGGAACUCGGCAAACCCAGGCUU